CGAUGAUUGAUAUUGAGGUCGAUGAAUGAGUUUCCUAGUUGGCCGUCGAGAGCUCAUGAUGCUAUCUGAGAGAUAUUUCUAGUAAGUCAAAAGUAUUUUAUUUUUAAAUUUAUGGUAGAUUUAUAUUUUAUUUAUUAAUACUUGUUUGCUUCUAUUUAGAGGAGUACUACUGAUUCGAGACUCCUCAAGAUAAGGAGGCUGGGCAUCGGAUCUUCGAGGAGGUGGCCAUAUGUAGGCUCCAAGAUGGGCUGUACAGCCUUAGGCAGUCCAUCAUAGAGCACUUUAGUUAUGAGUCACCAUCAGACUGAAAGUCUUAUUAGAUCACUGGAUGUGGAUGGACAUAUGGGAGGCCUUCUAUAAUCGAUGGAGUACUGAGGAGUACUCUGGUAGGCA
RNAcentral lists this long non-coding RNA (393 nucleotides) under Elaeis guineensis (African oil palm). Its description in RNAcentral is "long non-coding RNA (EGUI_LNC066553)". The record is from RNAcentral. Lineage: Eukaryota; Viridiplantae; Streptophyta; Magnoliopsida; Arecales; Arecaceae.